Molecule: ribosomal RNA, 651 nt
Filed under: Grapholita molesta (oriental fruit moth)
Lineage: Eukaryota; Metazoa; Arthropoda; Insecta; Lepidoptera; Tortricidae
Description: partial 16S ribosomal RNA
Source: RNAcentral
UUCUCGAAUUUAAAAGAGUUAAUUAAUUAAAAAAUUUAUUGUAGCAAAAAUAUUUUUCAUAAUUAAUUAGAAAUGAAAUGUUAAUCGUUUUUAGAUAUAUCUAGUUUUUUUAGAAAAAAAUUUAAUUUUAAAUUAAAUUAAUUAAAAAAUUAAUUAAAAAAUUUUUUAAAAUUUAAAUUUAAUAUUUUAAGGGAUAAGCUUUAAUUUAAAAUAUUUAUAAUUAAAUAUUAAAUUUUUUGAAAAUUUUAAAAUUUAUAUUGUUUAAAAAUUAUAAUUUUUUAUAAAUAAUUUCAUAAAAAAUAAAAUUUAAUUUUAAUUUAAUUUUUUAUAAAAAAAUAAAAUUAAAAAAAAUAAUUUUAGUUAUAAUGAUAAAAUUAGUAUAUAAAUUUUAUUUAAUUAAUAUUAUAAAAUAUUUUUAAAUGAAAAAUUAAUUAUAAGGAAUUCGGCAAAAAUUUAUAUUCACUUGUUUAUCAAAAACAUGUCUUUUUGAAAUAAUUUAAAGUCUAAUCUGCCCACUGAUGAAAAUUGAAGGGCUGCAGUAUUUUGACUGUACAAAGGUAGCAUAAUCAUUAGUCUCUUAAUUGGUGACUUGUAUGAAAGAUUGGAUGAGAUAUAAGCUGUCUUAUUUUUAUUUAUAGAAUUUAAUUUUUU